UCCCAGACCCUCGCGGAGUCUCUGCCCGGCUAUGGAGCAGUGUGGAGGAACCCUCCUCCUGUGGGGUAACAGUCUGGCCGGGGGCCCAGUCGUGGGGCGGUGUCUGCAGUCCGGGUCCAGAUCCGCGGCACGCAGAGCCCGGGAGGCCCGAGAGGAACCAGCGGGCAGAGGACUUGGGAAAGGCGCACCGACUUCCCUGCAGGCCUGACUCCGGUCUCCAUGGCGAAAGCAGGCAGGUGGCACAGCCGCGGCUCUCCAUGAGGGAGCAGCUUAGAUUAUAUGCUGUUGGAUUAAAAUGUAAUAAACAUAGGAGUAAAAAAAAAAAAAAAAACUCAGCGUUUCAAGGGUCUGAGGACUCAUCCAGUUCCAAAGAGAAAGAACACUCUCCAUGCCACUGUAAGCCUAGCGUCUGCUUGAACACCUCUGAGGACGGGGAACUCAUUACCUUACAAAGCUGUGCCUUGCCCCUUUUCAGUGUUAUACUUUGAAAACAGAUUUUUAAAAAAAUGAUCGCUUCAUGUUACCGUAUUUUUAUUAAAAUAAGAGAGAGGCCAAUACGGCAAUAGAAGUUGUGCCAGUAUUUUUUGUUUGGUUUUUAAUCUACGAACUUUCUGAACUGUUCAGAAGUCGGGGUUCGCGGGGAAUGCGUGGUCUCGCGCCAUCAGCGAUGACCCUGGGGCGCAGCUCGGGCCCAGGCAACGAGAACUCGGGAGUCUCCGCGGUGAGACCCCAGCUCUCUCCUUCCAGGGUUCUGAAAAUCCCGAGGGGCAGCCCCCAGACCGCUUCCUGGCAGGGCAGAGGCCCAGCCCAGAGGCCCCGCUUCCGCCUGGGAACGCCAACGGCCCAGCUGCCUGGGGAAACAGAAAACGCCUAAAAAGUCGUCUUCGGUAACAGAUCACCAGUCUCUGAGUUUCUUUUACAGGGAGAAGAAAAAAAAUUUUUAAGCCAUGAAAGUUUGGAAAAACAGCAAUUCAACGCGUAGAUCACUCGCUCAAAGACCCCAAACACUUCCUGAUGAGCGGAAUCCAGAGGCGCGGUCAGCACAGGCGAAGCUGAUCCCUCCCCCAAUCCUGCUUAGGAAGUUGUACAAAGUCUUUUGUUUUGGGGGGGAAACAACAAAAGGUAAACAAAAAUGACACUUUGAAAAGGAGAGUCUCUUUGUCUCAGUGGAGUAAAAAGUUCCUGUCCCCAGGGGAAAGCGCCUCGGUCCAGCACGGGUGGCAGGGCCAGUGAGCACCCAGCCGGAGGGAGACCUGUUGAACUUCGCAAAAUUUAAAAAAAUGUAGUCACUGGAAUAGCACCGUAGUUUUGAACACUUCCUCCUGGUAACAAAAUGUGUACUUCUUUUGGUUAUUCUGUGCUCACAUGUGACAUAUCCAAACUGUCUUAUUUAAAAAAAAAUAAUAAUCACCUCUCGCUACAAAGGCACCUGGCACCUGCUCCCAGGCGGGGCGAAGGCCAUGAGCACCUGAGUACUGGGGAGGAUGCCCAGGCAGUUCCUCUGGACUCAGACAUGCUUAGAAAACUCAUCAUUCCACCUGGGACCUUCAGUAUUUUAUAAUAAAG
Molecule: long non-coding RNA, 1566 nt
Filed under: Homo sapiens (human)
Lineage: Eukaryota; Metazoa; Chordata; Mammalia; Primates; Hominidae
Description: HSALNT0131301
Source: RNAcentral